UACGGAGGAUCCAAGCGUUAUCCGGAAUCAUUGGGUUUAAAGGGUCCGUAGGUGGACGAUUAAGUCAGAGGUGAAAUCCUGCAGCUCAACUGUAGAAUUGCCUUUGAUACUGGUUGUCUUGAAUCAUUGUGAAGUGGUUAGAAUAUGUGGUGUAGCGGUGAAAUGCAUAGAUAUCACAUAGAAUACCGAUUGCGAAGGCAGAUCACUAACAAUGCAUUGACACUGAUGGACGAAAGCGUGGGGAGCGAACGGGAUUAGAUACCCCGGUAGUCCACGCCGUAAACGAUGGAUACUAGCUGUCCGGCCUUCGGGCUGGGUGGCUAAGCGAAAGUGAUAAGUAUCCCACCUGGGGAGUACGUUCGCAAGAAUGAA
This 372-nucleotide ribosomal RNA is filed under the name uncultured bacterium. RNAcentral's name for it is "bacterial SSU rRNA". It matches the Rfam family "Bacterial small subunit ribosomal RNA", at positions 524 to 898 of the family's 1533-position model. The record is from RNAcentral.